UUAACUCGAGGUGAAAGGGUUCAAUGAAUUCCAAGAACAGGCAUGAGGAGUCUAAAAAGACGUCGUGUUAUGCUGAAGUAUUAAGAAUUUGCAGAUGCACCGGGAUGGUGGCUGUAGGGAAGUGGUGAAAUGUACUCAAAAGAGAUUGGGUGGGGAGGAGGGUCUUUAACUCUGUGAGGGGGCGCCCAUGCACAUUAGCCUCCAGGAGAUAACAGCUUGUUCCCUCUUGGAAAGAGACACACAUUGGUUCCCAGGACUGCCCACCGCUCUGAGGACAAGUGCCCACUAAAGACUGCGGACAGACUGACUGCAGUUGGAGAGGGUCACCAAGACGAUUCAGAGGGCACCCUACAGAGUUCCACUGCCCUUGCAGGGUCAUUUUGCUGCAUAGUUCAAGCCGACACAGCUGUUGGAUCUGAUGGCUUCUUCCGCACGCCAGACACUGUCACUUCGGGUAACAGGUAUGAACCAGAAUAUGCAAAAGCUUAAUGAAAUAUUGCACGAAAGACUCAUAAGCAUCAGUGAAAUAUCUCAACUGACCAGGCACCUUAUUUGUGAAAGAGCCUCCGAGCUGCCGUUCACCUUCAACUCUGAAGGAUCACAUACACCUUUACCAGGCUACCUGUGGAGUGUUCCAGGAGCUUUGCACAGUCUCGGCAGGGAAGC
This is a long non-coding RNA of Mirounga angustirostris (Northern elephant seal), 666 nucleotides long. RefSeq lists it as uncharacterized. Lineage: Eukaryota; Metazoa; Chordata; Mammalia; Carnivora; Phocidae. The record is from RefSeq and is a predicted model, not a curated record. The transcript is spliced from 3 exons.